RNAcentral lists this ribosomal RNA (470 nucleotides) under uncultured bacterium. RNAcentral describes it as "partial 16S ribosomal RNA". It matches the Rfam family "Bacterial small subunit ribosomal RNA", at positions 28 to 507 of the family's 1533-position model. The record is from RNAcentral.
GACGAACGCUGGCGGCGUGCUUAACACAUGCAAGUCGAACGCUGAAGCCCCAGCUUGCUGGUGUGGAUGAGUGGCGAACGGGUGAGUAAUACGUGAGUAACCUGCCCUUGACUCUGGGAUAAGCCCGGGAAACUGGGUCUAAUACUGGAUGCUACAUGUCACCGCAUGGUGGUGUGUGGAAAGGGUUUACUGGUCUUGGAUGGGCUCACGGCCUAUCAGCUUGUUGGUGAGGUAAUGGCUCACCAAGGCGACGACGGGUAGCCGGCCUGAGAGGGUGACCGGCCACAAUGGGACUGGGACACGGCCCAGACUCCUACGGGGGGCAGCAGGGGGGAAUAUUGCACAAUGGGCGAAAGCCUGAUGCAGCGACGCCGCGGGGGGGAUGACGGCCUUCGGGUUGUAAACCUCUUUCAGCAGGGAAGAAGCCACAAGUGACGGUACCUGCAGAAGAAGCGCCGGCUAACUACGUG